GGGGCUGCAGUGGGUGCUCAGCACCCUGCUCAUGUGCUUUGGUGCUGUUGUUUUUUCCCUAGGUCAGAGCACAGAUGCCGGUGACUAAGGACGUGCCACCAUUUGUCAUCUGCAGUCAAUCUCUCUUGAAGAAAAAAGAAUGGAGGGGAAUGCGGAGCUGUGAUUCAGCUUUGUGUUUCAGGAGAACAGGCAGUGAGGGUGAAGCUUCGUUCUUCUGCUGUGACUGGGAGAAAUGGCAGGGGCUGCAGAUGAGAUAAGGAGAGCAGAUCUGCCAAUCCAUGCGUGCGGCUGGGGCAGGAGGGAGCAAUGAGCCGGAGCCGAUUCUCCAGCAUCUGCUGUUGGGAUCUGUUUCACAG
Molecule: long non-coding RNA, 356 nt
Filed under: Gallus gallus (chicken)
Lineage: Eukaryota; Metazoa; Chordata; Aves; Galliformes; Phasianidae
Description: lncRNA (ENSGALG00010011579.1)
Source: RNAcentral